Molecule: unclassified non-coding RNA, 253 nt
Filed under: uncultured Flavobacteriaceae bacterium
Lineage: Bacteria; Pseudomonadati; Bacteroidota; Flavobacteriia; Flavobacteriales; Flavobacteriaceae
Description: contains 16S-23S intergenic spacer region
Rfam family: Bacterial small subunit ribosomal RNA
Source: RNAcentral
UACGGAGGAUCCAAGCGUUUUCCGGACUCAUUGGGUUUAAAGGGUCCGUAGGCGGGUUAAUAAGUCAGUGGUGUAAGUCUGCGGCUCAACUGUAGAAUUGACAUUGAUACUGUUGUUCUCGAGUAUUUAUGAAGUGGUUAGAAUAUGUAGUGUAGCGGUGAAAUGCAUAGAUAUUACAUAGAAUACCGAUUGCGAAGGCAGAUCACUAAUAAAAUACUAACGCUGAUGGACGAAAGCGUAGGUAGCGAACAGG